This 253-nucleotide ribosomal RNA is filed under the name uncultured bacterium. RNAcentral's name for it is "partial 16S ribosomal RNA". It matches the Rfam family "Bacterial small subunit ribosomal RNA", at positions 524 to 776 of the family's 1533-position model. The record is from RNAcentral.
UACGUAGGGGGCAAGCGUUGUCCGGAAUCAUUGGGCGUAAAGCGCGUGUAGGCGGCUCGGUAAGUCCGCUCUGAAAGUCGGGGGCUCAACCCUCGGAUGCGGGUGGAUACUGUCGAGCUUGAGUGCGGAAGAGGCGAGUGGAAUUCCUGGUGUAGCGGUGAAAUGCGCAGAUAUCAGGAGGAACACCAAUUGCGAAGGCAGCUCGCUGGGACGUUACUGACGCUGAGACGCGAAAGCGUGGGGAGCAAACAGG